Capsicum annuum is the source of this 3151-nucleotide long non-coding RNA. RefSeq lists it as uncharacterized. The transcript is spliced from 3 exons. The record is from RefSeq and is a predicted model, not a curated record. Lineage: Eukaryota; Viridiplantae; Streptophyta; Magnoliopsida; Solanales; Solanaceae.
AUAGCAGGAAUAAUCAUUAAUACCAAAUUAAAGAUUUCUCUUAUAAAAAUCAAUUCAAUAUAUUAUUAUGCUCAGUCUUCCCUACUUCUUUUUUCACCUUAAUUUGUGUCAAUUACCUUAAAAUAAUUGAUGUUCUCCCUCCCUUCUCUCACUUUCUAUUAUUUAUGUUUCAAGAAUUUUAUCAGUUGAUCUAAUUAUAUUUAUGCACUAUAGAAGCAUAGAAAAACAAACAACUUGGAACAAAGUUUCUUAUUUUGUUGUUAGCAUGGCUUGCUGAAAUUAAGGCGUAUACGUGGAUAUGGAUACUUUAGAGACGUUUUUGCUCAAGUUUACUAUUAACGCAAGUAGGGGCAUGAUCCUUGCUUCUGUUGCUAGAUAUAUCUGUAAUUUUUGGUUAGCUGGUAUUCUGUAAUCUUAGUUUACUUCCAUAGUCGCAAAUCUGAAGGACUGGACACUAAGAUCACAUUUAUUUCUUGUCAAAUAUUUACGCCCCGCUUCAUAUCAAGUUUACUCAUUGGCAUUGGCGAUUACUUUUGUGCUGUUGGAGCUGUUAAAACUCAUAGCUAUAGAAAUAUCUUGAAGAUUCUUCAUUCUAAUAUCUGAUCCACGUGCGUAAUUACUUUUUCCUUUUUUUCUGGAUGGGAAAACCUUAAAGGUACUAUUCUUGAAGUGACCAUGAAACCAUUGUCAAAAUUCUUGCUGAGUUAUGUCUAUACAAGUUGUAAAUUCAAUCUCUCCCUGUUAAAUAAAGAAGCCAUAUGUAGGUCUAUUUUGACUGGUUUAGAGUAUAAUUGGCAGAUCGAAAACAGUCUUUCUACUUCUUCGUAGGCAGUGGUAUGAACUGCGUAUAUCUUACCUCCCCAUACCCUACUAUGUCGGAAUUUACUGGGUUGUUUGUUGUUGUUGUAGAGUACUAAUUGGCAGAAUUCCUGAUAUUGGCAAAUAUGCUGGUGAAAAUUAAGAGUCACCCAUGAAUUGGGAGAUAAUACAGUACUGUAGCUACACCAAAAUGCCGAGAUAUAUAAAAAUCACAGCUGGGUUUCCUCUUAAUUCUAGAAACAAUGGAGUACCUUUGGAGAUGUGUAUGGUCAAGGUUACUGUUACUGCAAGUCUAGGCAUGAUCCUUGCCCCUGUUGCUAGAUAUAUCUGUAGUUAUUGGUUAGCUGUUAUUCUGCUAAUCUUAGUUUACUUCCAUAGUCACAAAUCUGAAGGACUGGAUACUAAUCAUAUUCAUUACUUGUCAUAUAUUUAUGGCCCACUUCAUAUCUGGUUUACUCAUUGGCAUUGACUAUUACUUCGGUAUUGUUGGAGCUGUUAAAACUCAUGUCUCUAGUUCAUCUUUCCUUAUUUCAACCAGGCUCGUUUUCUCGGUGGGCUUAGGGGAGCAAAUUGGAGACAAAUAGAGUGCAUUCUUGCUAUCUUUUAGUUUCAAUAUUCCCACUCGUUGUUACCUCAUGUAAUGUUUAGGUUAUCAAUUGUAAAGAUAAGAUUGCACAGGGAUAUUUGAUGGGUCACAUACGUCUUCCCUGAUGAGUACCAUUUACAAACUCUUGAAACAUUACUAGGUGCUUACCCAUAAUUUCAGGUUCGUCAGAUUGUUCAAUCAUAAAAUUGGAUUUUGUUUAACUGCAAUAUCAAACAGUAGAAGCAAAAAUGUCAUGUCCAAAGGGAUACCAGGGGUGUGAGGUUGGAUUUUCAUCUGCAAGAAUGUUAAAAUAGAAAAUGAAACCUAACCUUUAAUAGUAGUGAAUCCUUUGUCUUACAUUGUAUGUUCGUUUGAAGAUAUAUUUAUUCCUAAAAAUCUUUUAACUCAUUUCUCAGAAUUCUUAUAAAGAGUAUUAUUUGCCGUUAGAAAAAAUUUGGGAGAAGAAUUUCAAAUUAAAGCAUUUGGAACUCUUAUCUUUUAUUUUAAGUUGAUGUUCUAUCAGAAACAACCUCUCUAUAUUUAUGAGGUAGGGGUACGAUCUGUGUAUGCUUUAACGUCCUUAGAUCCCACUUAUGGGAUUGCACUGGGUAUUAUGUUGUCGUUGGUGCUCUGGUCUUCUUCUCCUUGAAAUAUAUUCAUUUUAAUCAAGACAUCAUUUGCUUACUGUGGUUGAUUGGUCCAAAUACAUUAUUAUGGCCCAGAGAACUUAUAGGUGUUAUGGAUCUUAUUACUCAGUUCAAGUUAUUACCUCAUCACGAGUUCUUCUGCAAGAAGCCGCUUCCAUUGUUAAUUUCAGAUACACACUGCCUUCACAAUGUGGUGGAUUAUUCAUCAUCUAAACUUUUUUCUUGUUGAACAAUUUACUAGAAUAAAUCUUCAACAAUAGAUGAUAGAUGGGAUGUGGAUCGCAAUGAUCGUCCAGAAAAGAAAAGUGAAUAUAUGCUCGCUGAUCGUUGUAGAGAUUGCUUAAGGAGAAAUAUACGUCCUUUUUUGGAGCUGGGAUUGUAUUUACAAAAGUCAUUUACUGCUCACCAGCUUGUUGGACUUAUGGGGUACCUAUCAGGAAACAUACUGAAAACAAUGCUUCUGCAGAUUGAAUGCAAACAUUUAUUGGUCGUGAGCCUUGACUUCGCAGCUAUAAGUUCCAAGUUAAACGGGAUGAACUUGCGUUGCUUUGUAUUCUUUCCAUGUAUGGGUUGUACUUCAAGGCUUUGAGCUUCUCAUUGUAACACGUGAAUUAAUGUUUCUUUAAAGAAUGAAAAUAGGACUUUUUGGUGUCACAAAUUUACACAUGUCAAAACUGUUAUGCUUUCUGAUUGUUAAUCUCUCCUAUCUUUACAUGGCCGAUGGUGACAUGAUACUGAGCUUAUUAGAGAAUGCAAUAGCCUUCAUUGACCCGUUAAUAUUCAACUUCGGUCUAUUUAAAAUAUUUUUCACAUGUACAAGAUUAACACAUUGACUUUAUACCUUCCAAAAUAUUUAUUCAAUAAUUUCACUUCAACCUUCACACAAUUAGAUCGAGUCUUGUUUUCCAUAGCUAUAUCAAUAUACAAUUAAUUUUCUAUAAUCAUAAACAAAAAUAGCCAAAGAUCAAUUUACAUUUAGCUACAAAAUUAUUUUCGUAGAAAAAAAUAACUAAAUGAUUCCGCUACAAAUUCCAAAUCAUCACUACUUCAUAUUUUGUGACAAAAUUAUGUUGUCACUAAAUCAUAGAGUAACUAGAGA